Molecule: ribosomal RNA, 301 nt
Filed under: uncultured bacterium
Lineage: Bacteria
Description: partial 16S ribosomal RNA
Rfam family: Bacterial small subunit ribosomal RNA
Source: RNAcentral
CAGUCGCCACGGGAAUACAGAGGGUGCGAGCGUUAAUCGGAUUUACUGGGCGUAAAGCGUGCGUAGGCGGCUUUUUAAGUCGGAUGUGAAAUCCCUGAGCUUAACUUAGGAAUUGCAUUCGAUACUGGAAAGCUAGAGUAUGGGAGAGGAUGGUAGAAUUCCAGGUGUAGCGGUGAAAUGCGUAGAGAUCUGGAGGAAUACCGAUGGCGAAGGCAGCCAUCUGGCCUAACACUGACGCUGAGGUACGAAAGCAUGGGGAGCAAACAGGAUUAGAUACCCCCGUAGUCCCUGUCUCUUAUAC